GAAGGGUAAGCUGAAAACCUUUAACAGAGUAGGCG
Molecule: regulatory RNA element, 35 nt
Organism: Pedobacter sp. BAL39
Lineage: Bacteria; Pseudomonadati; Bacteroidota; Sphingobacteriia; Sphingobacteriales; Sphingobacteriaceae
Rfam family: DUF805b RNA
About the family: Bacteroidetes, Chlorobi (1 example), Proteobacteria. Lineage (Flavobacteria)
Source: Rfam